Molecule: long non-coding RNA, 366 nt
Organism: Cervus elaphus (red deer)
Lineage: Eukaryota; Metazoa; Chordata; Mammalia; Artiodactyla; Cervidae
Exons: 3
Source: RefSeq, a predicted model, not a curated record
CUAAAACUCAAAAUUGUCCUUCAUGUUCUUCUGUCUCUGGCCUUUUGUAACCAGAUUUUACAAUCAAGCUGGGUCCUGUCACAUGGGUGGACCUCUCUGAGUUAAAUAUUCAUGGAUGACCUUCAGGAUAUCCAGUAAUAAAGUUUUAAGUGCUUCGGGACAGGAAAACAGUUGGCCAUCUGGUUUUACUAAACACUUUCUCAUGUACAAAGGACAAGAUGUAUUACUUGGAGCAGCUAGAACUGCACUGUUGGAAGAAUUUGGGACACUUCUCUGUACAAACUAUUUCUCAAAGAUGAAGAGCUUGACCUGUAUCAAAAAUUAAAGAAAUUCAUUGUUGAGAGUACUUCUGAUUCUUUCUUCAUA